AUUAAACGCUGGCGGCAUGCCUUACACAUGCAAGUCGAACGGCAGCACGGGGGCAACCCUGGUGGCGAGUGGCGGACGGGUGAGUAAAGCAUCGGAACGUAUCCUGGAGUGGGGGGAUAACGUAGCGAAAGUUACGCUAAUACCGCAUAUUCUGUGAGCAGGAAAGCAGGGGAUCGCAAGACCUUGCGCUCUGGGAGCGGCCGAUGUCGGAUUAGCUAGUUGGUGGGUAAAGGCCUACCAAGGCGACGAUCCGUAGCGGGUCUGAGAGGAUGAUCCGCCACACUGGGACUGAGACACGGCCCAGACUCCUACGGGAGGCAGCAGUGGGGAAUUUUGGACAAUGGGCGGAAGCCUGAUCCAGCCAUGCCGCGUGAGUG
This 377-nucleotide ribosomal RNA is filed under the name uncultured bacterium. RNAcentral describes it as "bacterial SSU rRNA". It matches the Rfam family "Bacterial small subunit ribosomal RNA", at positions 29 to 407 of the family's 1533-position model. The record is from RNAcentral.